This 445-nucleotide ribosomal RNA is filed under the name uncultured bacterium. RNAcentral describes it as "partial 16S ribosomal RNA". It matches the Rfam family "Bacterial small subunit ribosomal RNA", at positions 354 to 796 of the family's 1533-position model. The record is from RNAcentral.
GUGAGGAAUAUUGGUCAAUGGACGGAAGUCUGAACCAGCCAUGCCGCGUGCAGGAAUAAGGUCCUAUGGAUUGUAAACUGCUUUUAUUCGGGAAUAAACCUCUUUACGUGUAGGGAGCUGAAGGUACCGAAGGAAUAAGCACCGGCUAACUCCGUGCCAGCAGCCGCGGUAAUACGGAGGGUGCAAGCGUUAUCCGGAAUCAUUGGGUUUAAAGGGUCCGCAGGCGGGCUAUCAAGUCAGAGGUGAAAUCCCACAGCUUAACUGUGGAACUGCCUUUGAAACUGAUGGUCUUGAAUUAAGUGGGCGUUGGCGGAAUAUGACAUGUAGCGGUGAAAUGCAUAAAUAUGUCAUGGAACACCGAAAGCGAAGGCAGCUAACGAUACUUAUAUUGACGCUCAUGGACGAAAGCGUGGGUAGCGAACAGGAUUAGAAACCCGGGUAGUCC